RNAcentral lists this ribosomal RNA (464 nucleotides) under Vreelandella stevensii. RNAcentral describes it as "partial 16S ribosomal RNA". It matches the Rfam family "Bacterial small subunit ribosomal RNA", at positions 338 to 794 of the family's 1533-position model. The record is from RNAcentral. Lineage: Bacteria; Pseudomonadati; Pseudomonadota; Gammaproteobacteria; Oceanospirillales; Halomonadaceae.
CCUACGGGAGGCUGCAGUGGGGAAUAUUGGACAAUGGGCGAAAGCCUGAUCCAGCCAUGCCGCGUGUGUGAAGAAGGCCUUCGGGUUGUAAAGCACUUUCAGUGGGGAAGAAAGCCUUGGGGCUAAUACCCUCGAGGAAGGACAUCACCCACAGAAGAAGCACCGGCUAACUCCGUGCCAGCAGCCGCGGUAAUACGGAGGGUGCGAGCGUUAAUCGGAAUUACUGGGCGUAAAGCGCGCGUAGGCGGUCUGAUAAGCCGGUUGUGAAAGCCCCGGGCUCAACCUGGGAACGGCAUCCGGAACUGUCAGGCUAGAGUGCAGGAGAGGAAGGUAGAAUUCCCGGUGUAGCGGUGAAAUGCGUAGAGAUCGGGAGGAAUACCAGUGGCGAAGGCGGCCUUCUGGACUGACACUGACGCUGAGGUGCGAAAGCGUGGGUAGCAAACAGGAUUAGAUACCCCUGUAGU